Molecule: unclassified non-coding RNA, 20 nt
Filed under: Chlamydomonas reinhardtii
Lineage: Eukaryota; Viridiplantae; Chlorophyta; Chlorophyceae; Chlamydomonadales; Chlamydomonadaceae
Description: small RNA Cre_1829
Source: RNAcentral
GGAUAGCGCCUGUGGCGGGG